CCUGGUAACUUAGGCGGUGUGGGCUCUUAGGAUUGGAGCCAUCUGGUUUUUCCCUCAGAUACCUUAGUCUCGGGUGGUAUCCUGUGAUGAGGAAAUGAGUCCCCUCUCACCAUAUCUGGCUGGCGGCGGCCCAGAUGCCAUGUGAUGGUCAUUUGAAGACAGGCCUGCUGGACAUCAGGUCUCCCAAGGUCUAGACACUUGCCUUCAGGGACCUGGGCUUUCAGCUGUCCAUACCUGGCCCUGGUUGAUGGCCCCAUGCUGGGCAGUGCAUGUGA
Molecule: long non-coding RNA, 275 nt
Organism: Carlito syrichta (Philippine tarsier)
Lineage: Eukaryota; Metazoa; Chordata; Mammalia; Primates; Tarsiidae
Exons: 3
Source: RefSeq, a predicted model, not a curated record